AUUGACCUCGGAUCAGGUAGGAAUACCCGCUGAACUUAAGCAUAUCAAUAAGCGGAGGAAAAGAAACCAACAGGGAUUGCCCUAGUAACGGCGAGUGAAGCGGCAACAGCUCAAAUUUGAAAUCUGGCUUCGGUCCGAGUUGUAAUUUGCAGAGGAUGUUUAUGGUGCGGUACCUUCCGAGUUCCCUGGAACGGGACGCCACAGAGGGUGAGAGCCCCGUCUGGUUGGAUACCAAACCUGUGUUAAACUCCUUCAACGAGUCGAGUAGUUUGGGAAUGCUGCUCUAAAUGGGAGGUAAAUCUCUUCUAAAGCUAAAUACCGG
This 322-nucleotide ribosomal RNA is filed under the name Sirococcus conigenus. RNAcentral describes it as "eukaryotic LSU rRNA". It matches the Rfam family "Eukaryotic large subunit ribosomal RNA", at positions 1 to 326 of the family's 3401-position model. Lineage: Eukaryota; Fungi; Ascomycota; Sordariomycetes; Diaporthales. The record is from RNAcentral.